Aethalodelphis obliquidens (Pacific white-sided dolphin) is the source of this 168-nucleotide long non-coding RNA. RefSeq lists it as uncharacterized. The transcript has 3 exons. The record is from RefSeq and is a predicted model, not a curated record. Lineage: Eukaryota; Metazoa; Chordata; Mammalia; Artiodactyla; Delphinidae.
CAAAAACUUGAAUUUGCAGUUUACAUUGUAUUAGAUAUUAUAAGUAAUCCAGAGAUGAUUUAAAGUAUACAGGAGGAUAUUUCUAGGUUGUAUGCAAAUACUACGCCAUUUUAUAUAAGGGACUUGAACAUCCGUGGAAUUUGGUAUCUGCAUGGGGUCCUGGAACCA